GUAGGUGGCGAGCGUUAUCCGGAUUUACUGGGCGUAAAGCGCGUGCAGGCGGUUCCGUAAGUCGGACGUGAAAGCUCCUGGCUUAACUGGGAGAGUGCGUUCGAUACUGCGGGACUUGAGGUCGGGAGAGGGACGUGGAAUUCCCGGUGUAGUGGUGGAAUGCGUAGAUAUCGGGAGGAACACCAGUGGCGAAGGCGGCGUCCUGGCCCGUACCUGACGCUGAGACGCGAAAGCGUGGGUAGCGAACGGGAUUAGAUACCCCGGGUAGUCCACGCCGUAAACGGUGGAUACUAGGUGUUGGUGGCUAUCGUCAUCAGUGCCGUAGCUAACGCGUUAAGUAUCCCGCCUGGGGACUACGGCCGCAAGGCUA
This 370-nucleotide ribosomal RNA is filed under the name uncultured organism. RNAcentral describes it as "partial 16S ribosomal RNA". It matches the Rfam family "Bacterial small subunit ribosomal RNA", at positions 527 to 896 of the family's 1533-position model. The record is from RNAcentral.